UUCUCUGUGUAACGUCCUGAAUGAAUUGUGAGACCUGGAUGAAGGCUGAGACUUUUUGGGCAAAGUCACUGCAUUUACUCCUGCCCUCUGUCUCAGAAGGUACCAAGGACUGGCGAUUCCAAACUCUGGCCAACCAGGUGAAAAAAUAGCCUUUACACGCAAGAAAGAGGAUGCUGAAGUGUGGCUGGUGUUUGUCCGUAAUUUCUGGCUGCCGAUCCCUGUCCUGUCCUUGAGGAAGUCAUUUGGUUCCCCAUCUCCCCCCUGGUCGUUCUGAAUGGACAAAAGGUGGGAAGCAGAUCUGAAGAAAUCAGUCCUGACUUCAGACAGAGGCGAGACAGCCUGUGUUUAAUCUCUGGGACAGGAAAAAAGGAAGGAAAGCCAAGAGAUCUCCUCAUGCUGGGUCUUUAUCCAGCCCCUGGUGAAAAGAAAAAUA
Columba livia (rock pigeon) is the source of this 433-nucleotide long non-coding RNA. RefSeq lists it as uncharacterized. Lineage: Eukaryota; Metazoa; Chordata; Aves; Columbiformes; Columbidae. The transcript has 4 exons. The record is from RefSeq and is a predicted model, not a curated record.